Xenopus laevis (African clawed frog) is the source of this 1938-nucleotide long non-coding RNA. RefSeq lists it as uncharacterized. The record is from RefSeq and is a predicted model, not a curated record. The transcript is spliced from 5 exons. Lineage: Eukaryota; Metazoa; Chordata; Amphibia; Anura; Pipidae.
GCCGAAACAAGCGCCCUUGUUUCCCUUCCCCUCAUGAGUCCGGAGGUUCCACGAGUCACCCGCUUGGGGCGCAGCAGCGACGUUAUUAGUGCGGAUUACUACGACAGAGAUAAUUAUUACCUCAUUCUACUAGUAAAGUUACAGGCUGCUUCCCCGGCUGACGUACAGACGCUGGACAGAUAAGUGCAGGAGCUGAAGUUGAGACAAAGGGAUGAGAAAGCUGCAAUGAGGCAAAUAGAUCCACAUUUUAUUGACUGCUAGAAAGGAUUUUCCAGCCUUACAAGACUCUCGGGGCUGUGAUGGUUGCUAGGGACCAGCUUAUGCAGCAACCAGAUGUACUUGUAAUAUAUCAUUUAUUCCUUUAUCCGCUCAUUCUGCACUCUGGAUUCUUUUUUUUUACAAGAACACUUUAAAACUGGUUAAUGUAAGUGCAACAUAGUGGAUUUAGCCAUUCAGAUGCAAAUUGCCAUGUUUUUUACACCACAAUACAGUCUUCUUUUUCUUCAGUUACAGUGCACUUAGUGCAAAUCACUUACAAGUUUGUUAUGGAUUCAAUUCUCACAGGAUUUGUAUCUCACUUGCACAUAAUUCAUCACAUCAGGCUGAAGGCCGGGCACAAGAAGCAUUUGUGACUGUGUAGUGUCAAUGCACAAUCCAUUUUGCUUCCAAAAUAAUGUUUUGCACUUGUGUGAGAUCAUCAAUGUGGCGUAUUAUACUGUAUGUGAGUGUUUAGAUUAUCAUCUUUGCUUGAACUUCCUUUGAAACAGGAGGAGGCGCCUGGCUCUGCCCUAGUCUAAUAAUGACACAAUCUUGGAACAUUUACCCAGUGUCUCCUAUUGUGUGCAGCUGCUGAAAGUCUGCUGAAUGAUAAAUCUGCCCAAAUGCUGGAGCAGUCGGCACACGGCCUAGAGAAAGAAGUGCAAGGGACCAACAUCAGCAGCCAUGACACCCACAGGGAGUUUUAUCUCUAUGACCCCAGAACCCUGAUAUAGGACGUGGACCACCCAUCUUGAGAAUCCAGCCCCAGGCAAAGCACCAGCUUUGUUAUGUCUGUAUAUGCCAGUGGGUACAUCAGUAUACAGACUACAUUCAAUGAUGGGGAAUGGAGGGAGAUUCCCAGGAAUGACCAUUAGAAACAGAAUCUCUAACCCGUUAAUCCAGUGUGAGAAUGCUUGGUGGAGCAGCUGUACCCACAAGAGGACUGGCACGUGUCACUCACAGAUGAAGGAGUAUCACAGAAGGCGACCACUCCAGCACCAACGGGAGGAAAGAAAAAAGAAUGAGAUCCUGAUAACCUGGCACAGCUCUCUCCAGAGCCAACUGAGAAUCACUGCAGACAGAUUUCCAGCAUUAGAUGCUCCAGCUACUGUUGAACUACAAAUCCCACAAUCCCUGGAUGUUGUUGGGAGAUAAGAAUCCCAGGCAGCAUAAAAGAAGAUGAUGAUGAUUGGUUGAAGAAUGGGAUGGUAUAUUCCACUGUGUCUCACAGCAGGGGGGGGGGCAUUGAUGGUAAUGUUUCAGCCAUGAGACGUCUAUUCCAUUUAUGAAACACAAAGGUAAAAUUCAACCAUUAUUCAUUAUAUUCUCCUAAAAUCCCAGCUUGAAGGUCAGUUAAAGUGAGAUUUGGGUAAAAGCUAAUAGUUACAUACGACUGUAACCUUGAUAUGAGCAAUGGGGGUAGGUGAAAUGUUGGGUCUUAAAGAGGGGCUUGAAGUCUAAACUCCACUGAUCUAGAGAUACUGCUCCUUAUUUCUGUAGGUAGAGAGCAGAGCAGGCAGUAACCCUUUCACCAUUUCACAUUAUCUCUGUCCAUAUAUAUUAGGUACCUACCUAGUACUACCAACCCCUAUUUCUGCAGGGGAAUUAGAGCAGAGCAGGCAGUAACCCUCAGUUCCCUGUAUAACUCAGCCUGCAGCCUUGUGCCUUUAUAUGGUUACA